UCCCCGUUAACCGGGGCAGUCCCCCUAGAGUUCCCGGCAUGACCCGUUGGCAACUAGGGGCGAGGGUUGCGCUCGUUGCGGGACUUAACCCAACAUCUCACGACGCGAGCUGACGACAGCCAUGCAGCACCUGUGCACGGGCUCCGAAGAGGGGCCCCCUUUUCUGAGGGCUUUCCCGUGUAUGUCAAGCCUAGGUAAGGUUCUUCGCGUUGCGUCGAAUUAAACCACAUGCUCCACCGCUUGUGCGGGCCCCCGUCAAUUCCUUUGAGUUUUAAUCUUGCGACCGUACUCCCCAGGCGGAAUGCUUAAAGCGUUAGCUGCGCCACUGACGAGCAAGCUCGCCAACGGCUGGCAUUCAUCGUUUACGGCGUGGGCUAC
RNAcentral lists this unclassified non-coding RNA (378 nucleotides) under uncultured bacterium. RNAcentral's name for it is "contains 16S-23S intergenic spacer region". The record is from RNAcentral.